UACGAAGGGGGCUAGCGUUGUUCGGAAUUACUGGGCGUAAAGCGCACGUAGGCGGAUUGUUAAGUCAGGGGUGAAAUCCUGGAGCUCAACUCCAGAACUGCCCUUGAUACUGGCGGCCUUGAGUCCGGGAGAGGUGAGUGGAACUGCGAGUGUAGAGGUGAAAUUCGUAGAUAUUCGCAAGAACACCAGUGGCGAAGGCGGCUCACUGGCCCGGUACUGACGCUGAGGUGCGAAAGCGUGGGGAGCAAACAGG
RNAcentral lists this ribosomal RNA (253 nucleotides) under uncultured bacterium. Its description in RNAcentral is "partial 16S ribosomal RNA". It matches the Rfam family "Bacterial small subunit ribosomal RNA", at positions 524 to 776 of the family's 1533-position model. The record is from RNAcentral.